This is a long non-coding RNA of Solanum tuberosum (potato), 382 nucleotides long. RefSeq lists it as uncharacterized. NCBI's taxonomy places the organism in Eukaryota, Viridiplantae, Streptophyta, Magnoliopsida, Solanales, Solanaceae. The record is from RefSeq and is a predicted model, not a curated record. The transcript has 3 exons.
AAUGAGCCAUUCAUGAUUUGGUUGGUAUCCAGAAAUAACUGAAAGGGUGAGGAAAUAAGAGAAAUUGCUGGAGGCUGCUAGCAUGAUGUAAUAAAACACUAUUGCAGUGGAUAUGCUGCUUCUAGCUGUGAUUCGUCUUGAGAUAAUCUGUCAUAUUACCUCCAAAAACAUAUAUAGAAGUCAAGUUGUUAUUACCUAAGAAGAAGAUCAACUGUUAUACGGGACUAUAUCAAGAAGGAAUCUCAGGAACACUGUAUUCCUGACCGAUCUUUAUGGAACAAAUGAACACAUCUCUCUUCACACAGUUGUUUGAGGUAUGAUCUCUGAUCAAGCCGUUGCUUCUUUUGAAGUUUUUUCAUAUACAUGAAAGCAAGCUUGACUA